This 72-nucleotide transfer RNA is filed under the name Ictidomys tridecemlineatus (thirteen-lined ground squirrel). RNAcentral describes it as "Spermophilus tridecemlineatus (thirteen-lined ground squirrel) tRNA". It matches the Rfam family "tRNA". From Rfam's summary of the family: Transfer RNA (tRNA) molecules are approximately 80 nucleotides in length. Their secondary structure includes four short double-helical elements and three loops (D, anti-codon, and T loops). The record is from Rfam by way of RNAcentral. Lineage: Eukaryota; Metazoa; Chordata; Mammalia; Rodentia; Sciuridae.
GGAGUUGUGGCUCAGCAGUAGAGCACUUGCCUUACACAUAUGAGGCCCUGUGUUCAAUCCUCAGCAUCACAU